UUGGAGGAUUUGAAGACUUCAACUUGCAGACUUGGAGGAUUUGAAGACUUCAACUUUUAUACUUGGAGGAUUUGAAGAUUUCUACU
Solanum tuberosum (potato) is the source of this 86-nucleotide non-coding RNA. The record is from Rfam. NCBI's taxonomy places the organism in Eukaryota, Viridiplantae, Streptophyta, Magnoliopsida, Solanales, Solanaceae.